GAUGAACGCUGGCGGCGUGCUUAACACAUGCAAGUCGAACGGUGAAGGCGGAGCUUGCUCUGCUGGAUCAGUGGCGAACGGGUGAGUAACACGUGAGCAAUCUGCCCCUGACUCUGGGAUAAGCGCUGGAAACGGCGUCUAAUACUGGAUACGAGCUGCGAAGGCAUCUUCAGCAGCUGGGAAGAAUUUCGGUCAGGGAUGAGCUCGCGGCCUAUCAGCUUGUUGGUGAGGUAAUGGCUCACCAAGGCGUCGACGGGUAGCCGGCCUGAGAGGGUGACCGGCCACACUGGGACUGAGACACGGGCCAGACUCCUACGGGAGGCAGCAGUGGGGAAUAUUGCACAAUGGGCGAAAGCCUGAUGCAGCAACGCCGCGUGAGGGACGACGGCCUUCGGGUUGUAAACCUCUUUUAGCAGGGAAGAAGCGAAAGUGACGGUACCUGCAGAAAAAGCGCCGGCUAACUACGUG
RNAcentral lists this ribosomal RNA (468 nucleotides) under uncultured bacterium. RNAcentral describes it as "partial 16S ribosomal RNA". It matches the Rfam family "Bacterial small subunit ribosomal RNA", at positions 28 to 507 of the family's 1533-position model. The record is from RNAcentral.